GACGAACGCUGGCGGCGUGCUUAACACAUGCAAGUCGAACGGAAAGGCCCUGCUUUUGUGGGGUGCUCGAGUGGCGAACGGGUGAGUAACACGUGAGUAACCUGCCCUUGACUUUGGGAUAACUUCAGGAAACUGGGGCUAAUACCGGAUAGGAGCUCCUGCUGCAUGGUGGGGGUUGGAAAGUUUCGGCGGUUGGGGAUGGACUCGCGGCUUAUCAGCUUGUUGGUGGGGUAGUGGCUUACCAAGGCUUUGACGGGUAGCCGGCCUGAGAGGGUGACCGGCCACAUUGGGACUGGGUUACGGCCCAGACUCCUACGGGAGGCAGCAGUGGGGAAUAUUGCACAAUGGGCGGAAGCCUGAUGCAGCAACGCCGCGUGCGGGAUGACGGCCUUCGGGUUGUAAACCGCUUUCGCCUGUGACGAAGCGUGAGUGACGGUAAUGGGUAAAGAAGCACCGGCUAACUACGUG
Molecule: ribosomal RNA, 468 nt
Filed under: uncultured bacterium
Lineage: Bacteria
Description: partial 16S ribosomal RNA
Rfam family: Bacterial small subunit ribosomal RNA
Source: RNAcentral